CUUACACAUGCAAGUCGAACGGUAGAGUAGCAAUACUCGAGAGUGGCGAACGGGUGAGUAAUAUAUCGGAACGUGCCCAGUCGUGGGGGAUAACGUAGAGAAAUUUACGCUAAUACCGCAUACGAUCUAAGGAUGAAAGCGGGGGAUCGCAAGACCUCGCGCGAUUGGAGCGGCUGAUAUCAGAUUAGGUUGUUGGUGAGGUAAAAGCUCACCAAGCCGACGAUCUGUAGCUGGUUUGAGAGAACGACCAGCCACACUGGGACUGAGACACGGCCCAGACUCCUACGGGAGGCAGCAGUGGGGAAUUUUGGACAAUGGGCGAAAGCCUGAUCCAGCAAUGCCGCGUGCAGGAAGAAGGCCUUCGGGUUGUAAACUGCUUUUGUACGGAACGAAACGGUCUGCUUUAAUACAGUGGGCUAAUGACGGUACCGUAAGAAUAAGCACCGGCUAACUACGUGCCAGCAGCCGCGGUAAUACGUAGGGUGCGAGCGUUAAUCGGAAUUACUGGGCGUAAAGCGUGCGCAGGCGGUUAUAUAAGACAGUUGUGAAAUCCCCGGGCUCAACCUGGGAAUUGCAUCUGUGACUGUAUAGCUAGAGUACGGUAGAGGGGGAUGGAAUUCCGCGUGUAGCAGUGAAAUGCGUAGAUAUGCGGAGGAACACCGAUGGCGAAGGCAAUCCCCUGGACCUGUACUGACGCUCAUGCACGAAAGCGUGGGGAGCAAACAGGA
RNAcentral lists this ribosomal RNA (728 nucleotides) under uncultured bacterium. RNAcentral describes it as "bacterial SSU rRNA". It matches the Rfam family "Bacterial small subunit ribosomal RNA", at positions 48 to 777 of the family's 1533-position model. The record is from RNAcentral.